GUUUGGUCCCGGAUGUGUUUCGCCGUUUGGAAGCUGCCGAUCCUCAUCCGUAAAUAUAACAAUAUGCAGAAGAACGGAUACAGAUUUACGGUGUUGUGGAUGACAUAUUGAAGAAGUUCGAUCCGAUACCCUUCCCGAAGAUCUGUAUGAGACCUAGAGGUAAAAAAAUCCUGCUGAAUUUUACUAUUGGAAUGCCGCAAAUAAUAUAGAGGAAGAAAUCGUGCAAAGCGAUUAUCCUGUUACUUUUUGAAUGGUGGUUCGUCGGCACCUCGUUCGGCACUAGAGGCUUACGGAGAAGAAGUCAAAAUCAUGGUGCAAACGAAAGAUGCACAACUGCUGGAUAAACCUCUAAUUGAACCGUGUAAAACAGGUUUGAUGAAUACUCCGAUGCUCAAAAAUGUGCUUUUAAAUGGCCAUUUGCGCCAUGGAAAAACGGAAAAGCUCCACGGACACACUUUUUACUGGAUAGGAACGCGAUACCGCCGGACGUGAAGAGGGCAAGAGCUUCUGGAUAAACUAUAUUCGAGACUCCAGGGCAUGUGAACUUUUCGGACGAGGUAACUAUUGCCACAAUGCGUCUAUACGAUGGAGAUGUUCUUUUAAUGGACACCACGCAAGUAUUCUCAAAUAUGUACAUAGAUUACUGAAGCUGGUUUCGAUGGAUACAAUGUUGUGCCAUAAAGUCGUUGUAUAGAUAAUAAAUAUU
Molecule: long non-coding RNA, 706 nt
Organism: Armigeres subalbatus
Lineage: Eukaryota; Metazoa; Arthropoda; Insecta; Diptera; Culicidae
Exons: 3
Source: RefSeq, a predicted model, not a curated record